GACGAACGCUGGCGGCGUGCCUAAUACAUGCAAGUAGAACGCUGAAGGAGGAGCUUGCUUCUCUGGAUGAGUUGCGAACGGGUGAGUAACGCGUAGGUAACCUGCCUGGUAGCGGGGGAUAACUAUUGGAAACGAUAGCUAAUACCGCAUAAGAGUAGAUGUCGCAUGACAUUUGCUUAAAAGGUGCAAUUGCAUCACUACCAGAUGGACCUGCGUUGUAUUAGCUAGUUGGUGAGGUAACGGCUCACCAAGGCAACGAUACAUAGCCGACCUGAGAGGGUGAUCGGCCAAACUGGGAAUGAGAAAAGGCCCAGACUCCUACGGGAGGCAGCAGUAGGGAAGCUUCGGCAAUGGACGGAAGUCUGACCGAGCAACGCCGCGUGAGUGAAGAAGGGUUUCGGAUCGUAAAGCUCUGUUGUAAGAGAAGAACGAGUGUGAGAGUGGAAAGUUCACACUGUGACGGUAUCUUACCAGAAAGGGACGGCUAACUACGUG
This 495-nucleotide ribosomal RNA is filed under the name uncultured bacterium. Its description in RNAcentral is "partial 16S ribosomal RNA". It matches the Rfam family "Bacterial small subunit ribosomal RNA", at positions 28 to 507 of the family's 1533-position model. The record is from RNAcentral.